UACGUAGGGGGCGAGCGUUGUCCGGAAUCAUUGGGCGUAAAGAGCUCGUAGGCGGUUCAGCAAGUCGGCUGUGAAAUUCCGAGGCUCAACCUCGGAACUGCAGUCGAUACUGCUGUGACUCGAGUCCGGUAGAGGAGAAUGGAAUUCCCGGUGUAGCGGCGAAAUGCGCAGAUAUCGGGAGGAACACCAGUAGCGAAGGCGGUUCUCUGGGCCGGUACUGACGCUGAGGAGCGAAAGCGUGGGGAGCAAACAGG
RNAcentral lists this ribosomal RNA (254 nucleotides) under uncultured bacterium. RNAcentral describes it as "partial 16S ribosomal RNA". It matches the Rfam family "Bacterial small subunit ribosomal RNA", at positions 524 to 776 of the family's 1533-position model. The record is from RNAcentral.